ACCUUGGUGGUUCAGCGGUAGAAUUCUCACCUUCUGCAUGGGAGACCUGGGUUUGAUUCCCAGCCAGUGCA
Molecule: transfer RNA, 71 nt
Organism: Loxodonta africana (African savanna elephant)
Lineage: Eukaryota; Metazoa; Chordata; Mammalia; Proboscidea; Elephantidae
Rfam family: tRNA
About the family: Transfer RNA (tRNA) molecules are approximately 80 nucleotides in length. Their secondary structure includes four short double-helical elements and three loops (D, anti-codon, and T loops).
Source: Rfam